Molecule: ribosomal RNA, 252 nt
Filed under: uncultured bacterium
Lineage: Bacteria
Description: partial 16S ribosomal RNA
Rfam family: Bacterial small subunit ribosomal RNA
Source: RNAcentral
UACGAAGGGGGCUAGCGUUGCUCGGAAUCACUGGGCGUAAAGCGCACGUAGGCGGGUCGUUAAGUCGGGGUGGAAAUCCUGGAGCUCAACUCCAGAACUGCCUUCGAUACUGGAGAGCUUGAGUCCGGGAGAGGUGAGUGGAACUGCGAGUGUAGAGGUGAAAUUCGUAGAUAUUCGCAAGAACACCAGUGGCGAAGGCGGCUCACUGGCCCGGUACUGACGCUGAGGUGCGAAAGCGUGGGAGCAAACAGG